Molecule: long non-coding RNA, 1296 nt
Filed under: Olea europaea subsp. europaea
Lineage: Eukaryota; Viridiplantae; Streptophyta; Magnoliopsida; Lamiales; Oleaceae
Source: RNAcentral
GACUAAAUUCUUUUUAAUUGAAGGCACAUGCAAUACUCUAUUUAGUGUAAGAGACUUAUCAUUAACUGUGGGAACAUUUCUUUUUCCAAUAUGUGCAAUGUGUAAUGACUUCCCAUCACCAACUAUCAAUUUUUCCUUACCUUCAUAUUUCUUGACUGUAUACAGAUUACCUUUGUCGGAUGUUACAUGAUUGCUUGCACCGGAAUCUGUAAACCAGGCUGGAUCUUCAACAGUUCUUGGUGAAGCCACAUAUGCAGAAGGAGCUGGGCUGUUGUUCUGAUGAUUUUGAUUACUUGGUCUGCUGCCCAUGUAUCUGUCAUCGUACCUGUAAAAACACCAGCUGGCUGAGUGGUUGUUGAGUCCACAGAUUUGGCAAGGUCCUUUACUUUCAUUUUGCCUGCCUGCUCUACCUCUACCUCUCGUUCUCCCUCUGAAAUUUAAGGAUCUACCUCUGUUGGUACCUCUAAAAAUUCUGCCACCACCUGAGCUAGUUCUUUGGGCCAGUUGAACACUUGAUUGACCAACAUUCAGUGAUGCAAAGUUGUCCCUGACUUGACUCAAAUACUCAAGCCUACUUUCAAAUGUCAUCAGCACAGAAGACAGUUCAUGCCAGGAUAUAUUAUCCCUGCUAUUAACUUGCACCACUAUAGGUGUGUAUUCUUCAUCCAACCCUGAUAAAACCUGAGUUACAAGAUCACUGUGGUCAAUAGCUUUCCCAGCUAUCUCCAGAUUAUCAGCCAGUUGUUUGACGGUGGUGAGGUAUUGAUCCAUAGACAUAGUGCCUUUCCUCAUCCUUUGUAGUUCUCCAGUGAGGAACACGACCCUUGACUUGUUCAGUACACCAUAGCUUUCUUCCAAUGCAGUCCAUAACUUGCUUGAACUGUUGCAUCCCAUGACUCUCAUUGCUAUUUCGGGGGUCAUGGAUGAGUAUAACCACCCAAUCAACAGUUGAUCAGUUGAGAUCCACCUAUUAUACUCAGGAUUCUGAAUCAUUUCUACAGCUUCUCCUUGACCAGUAGUGGUUUGAGUGGCUAGGAAUUCUGGUGGACACUGCUUUGUCCCCAGCAAAUAACCCUCUAGGUUAUGCCCUUUGAUUAUUGGCAUAAUCAUAUUCUUCCAUAGCAAGUAGUUGUUCCUGUCGAGUUUUACUGAUGGAGUCUGAGUAAGGUUCAUUCCAAAUGAUGAACUCUGAUUUGCAGCUACUUGGGUGAAUGAUGAUGUGCUUGAAUCAAUUGGAGCUGGAUGACUACCUGAACCGGUGUUAGCCAUAUUGGCUCUGAUACCAAGUAAAGAAUU